AGUGAACGCUGGCGGUAGGCCUAACACAUGCAAGUCGAACGGCAGCACAGUAAGAGCUUGCUCUUACGGGUGGCGAGUGGCGGACGGGUGAGGAAUACAUCGGAAUCUACUUUUUCGUGGGGGAGAACGUAGGGAAACUUACGCUAAUACCGCAUACGACCUACGGGUGAAAGCAGGGGAUCUUCGGACCUUGCGCGAUUGAAUGAGCCGAUGUCGGAUUAGCUAGUUGGCGGGGUAAAGGCCCACCAAGGCGACGAUCCGUAGCUGGUCUGAGAGGAUGAUCAGCCACACUGGAACUGAGACACGGUCCAGACUCCUACGGGAGGCAGCAGUGGGGAAUAUUGGACAAUGGGCGCAAGCCUGAUCCAGCCAUACCGCGUGUGUGAAGAAGGCCUUCGGGUUGUAAAGCCCUUUUGUUGGGAAAGAAAAGCAGCAGGUUAAUACCCCGCUGUUCUGACGGUACCAAAAGAAUAAGCACCGGCUAACUUCGUG
This 492-nucleotide ribosomal RNA is filed under the name uncultured bacterium. RNAcentral's name for it is "partial 16S ribosomal RNA". It matches the Rfam family "Bacterial small subunit ribosomal RNA", at positions 29 to 507 of the family's 1533-position model. The record is from RNAcentral.